AAUUGGAGGGCAAGUCUGGUGCCAGCAGCCGCGGUAAUUCCAGCUCCAAUAGCGUAUAUUAAAGUUGUUGCAGUUAAAAAGCUCGUAGUUGAAUUUCGGGAUCAAUAUUUCGGUCAUGCCGUUGGUAUGCACUGUUAUCAUUGAUUUCUCACCUUCUAAAGAACCGUAAUACCAUUAAUUUGGUGUUACGGGGAAUUAGGACUGUUACCUUGAAAAAAUUAGAGUGUUUAAAGCAGGCUCACGCUUGAAUACAUUAGCAUGGAAUAAUGAAAUAGGACAUCCGAUUCUAUUUUGUUGGUUUCUAGGAUCGAUGUAAUGAUUAAUAGGGAUAGUUGGGGGCAUUAGUAUUCAAUUGUCAGAGGUGAAAUUCUUGGAUUUAUUGAAGACUAACUACUGCGAAAGCAUUUGCCAAGGAUGUUUUCAUUAAUCAAGAACGAAAGUUAGGGGAUCGAAGACGAUCAGAUACCGUCGUAGUCUUAACCAUAAACUAUGCCGACUAGGGAUCGGAUGAUGUUAAUUUUUUAAUGACUCAUUCGGCGCCUUACGGGAAACCAAAGUGU
RNAcentral lists this ribosomal RNA (560 nucleotides) under uncultured Glomus. RNAcentral's name for it is "SSU rRNA". It matches the Rfam family "Eukaryotic small subunit ribosomal RNA", at positions 546 to 1106 of the family's 1831-position model. Lineage: Eukaryota; Fungi; Glomeromycota; Glomeromycetes; Glomerales; Glomeraceae. The record is from RNAcentral.